AAAAAAAAAAAAAAAAAAAAAAAAAAAAAAAACAAGAAAAGGAA
RNAcentral lists this small RNA (44 nucleotides) under Histoplasma capsulatum G186AR. Its description in RNAcentral is "hypothetical RNA". Lineage: Eukaryota; Fungi; Ascomycota; Eurotiomycetes; Onygenales; Ajellomycetaceae. The record is from RNAcentral.